CCUACGGGAGGCAGCAGUCGAGAAUCAUUCACAAUGGGGGAAACCCUGAUGGUGCGACGCCGCGUGGGGGAAUGAAGGUCUUCGGAUUGUAAACCCCUGUCAUGUGGGAGCAAAUUAAAAAGAUAGUACCACAAGAGGAAGAGACGGCUAACUCUGUGCCAGCAGCCGCGGUAAUCCAGAGGUCUCAAGCGUUGUUCGGAAUCACUGGGCGUAAAGCGUGCGUAGGCUGUUUCGUAAGUCGUGUGUGAAAGGCGCGGGCUCAACCCGCGGACGGCACAUGAUACUGCGAGACUAGAGUAAUGGAGGGGGAACCGGAAUUCUCGGUGUAGCAGUGAAAUGCGUAGAUAUCGAGAGGAACACUCGUGGCGAAGGCGGGUUCCUGGACAUUAACUGACGCUGAGGCACGAAGGCCAGGGGAGCGAAAGGGAUUAGAUACCCCGGUAGUC
RNAcentral lists this ribosomal RNA (446 nucleotides) under uncultured bacterium. RNAcentral describes it as "partial 16S ribosomal RNA". It matches the Rfam family "Bacterial small subunit ribosomal RNA", at positions 338 to 795 of the family's 1533-position model. The record is from RNAcentral.